GCUUCCUUUGACACAACUUGGGUUGAGUAUCGUUUGAAUUUGAACGAUUCCGAUUCCAAUUCCGAUUUCUUAUUUCGAUUCCGGUUCCUAACGAUUCUCGAUUCCGAUUUUUUUAAGAGGCAGGGUCAAAAAAAGUUUAGGAUAUUUUAAAUGAGCUAGCUAAUUAACGGUCUUUCUCAGGGUAUCUGCACAUUUUCCAAGUGCAAAUUUAAAGACUUUUAAGACCUUUUCAAGACAUCUAA
This is a long non-coding RNA of Alosa sapidissima (American shad), 242 nucleotides long. RefSeq lists it as uncharacterized. Lineage: Eukaryota; Metazoa; Chordata; Actinopteri; Clupeiformes; Clupeidae. The transcript has 3 exons. The record is from RefSeq and is a predicted model, not a curated record.